Long non-coding RNA from Nannospalax galili (Upper Galilee mountains blind mole rat), 771 nucleotides. RefSeq lists it as uncharacterized. The transcript has 4 exons. The record is from RefSeq and is a predicted model, not a curated record. NCBI's taxonomy places the organism in Eukaryota, Metazoa, Chordata, Mammalia, Rodentia, Spalacidae.
GCGGAGGGUGGGGGAGGCGCGGGCGCGCGUGGAGGCGGAGGCGGCCCUCGGGGGUCCGGCAGGCCGGGCCAGGAGGCCGCGCCCGUGGUCUGUGGCUCCCGCACUUCACAGGGUACCGACCUGUGUAUUCGUUCUUUUGAUUGCAAGUGACGGAAAGCCGGCUCAAACUGACUCUCAAAGGAGGGCUUUUAUUGGCUCAUGCAACUGACAGGGUCUCAGUAGCUAAGGCGGGCCUGGAAUCCUGAUCCAUGUACCUUCACCUCCCAGGUCUGGAAUUACAGGCAAAGUGGGAGUCCUGUCUCCAUGGCGAUGGCGCAGCGUUCCAGCCACAAAAAUCUAAAGGGGCUGAGCAGACUGGAGGUGGCUGGCUUUGCUGAGGCAGCCCCUGGUUUGCUUCUGUUCCCUCCAUGCAUCCUCUGGAGCCCCCAGCUACAGACUCGCUGCCAGCCCCUGCCUGGGGUGUCAUCUACUCAGCUCUGAGAGACGCACCUCUGCUUUACCCUGCACAAGUCAGCGGAAGCUUCUUCCCGCCUCUAGCCACUCAGAAGCCAGUCAGCCCUGAAGCAGUCAAGCCCCCGCCUCCACUCGUCUGUCAAAUGCCCCACAGAUCUCAGGCUUGUCGUUAAACCCAGCGUGAACCAAAUUUGGCAAGUGCCGGCCGCAGAUGGGCAGCUCUGCUCUCUGCCAUCCGCUCCUCUGUGAACUAGCUCAGCAAACUUCCCUGAGUUACUCCAUUUUGUUCAGAGCCAUUUCAGCAGCAACUUUGCUCCA